Molecule: ribosomal RNA, 225 nt
Filed under: Triticum aestivum (bread wheat)
Lineage: Eukaryota; Viridiplantae; Streptophyta; Magnoliopsida; Poales; Poaceae
Description: partial small subunit ribosomal RNA
Source: RNAcentral
AGGUGCCAAACUCAGGCGCCACUGUUGGGUGGCCUUCUUGAUGAACUGGCUAUUUCAUGUCUGAUGCGAGUUCCUCGAGUCAAGCACCAUAAUCUUCGUUUAGGUUGUAAAAGAUGAAGCCGACUUUUAUACGGGAAUUAUUAUUACUCACUGCGGAAGAAGAAUGGGUUCAUGUCUUCAAAAGGGGUCGUGAUCAGAACGUAUCUUGGCAUGCCUUUGAUCUAG